Non-coding RNA from Pelobates cultripes (western spadefoot toad), 281 nucleotides. The record is from the annotation of a GenBank genome assembly. NCBI's taxonomy places the organism in Eukaryota, Metazoa, Chordata, Amphibia, Anura, Pelobatidae.
CUUUUAAGUUGCUGGUGUUCCGGGAUGGUCGUGUGCAUGUUCUCUCACCCGGUGGAGAUCCGCAGCGUUUAUUCCAAAGCCUUGGCCUUCCACCCCAUCUCAACCUGCCUACUGUUCCUGUGACAUCAGAGGAAUAACACCAUUUACCGAGUGAGUGGAAAGAGUACGAGGGCACUGACUGCCUUAACGGAUAUCGUAUGGUGACAGCUGGGGAUGGCUCUAAUUAUCCAGGGGCCUAUUUUUACAUGCAUCCGGCAUAGGGGGUCGACGCGGGUCUGUUG